This 173-nucleotide ribosomal RNA is filed under the name Streptomyces sp. di188. RNAcentral describes it as "16S rRNA. Bacterial SSU". It matches the Rfam family "Bacterial small subunit ribosomal RNA", at positions 1 to 174 of the family's 1533-position model. The record is from RNAcentral. Lineage: Bacteria; Bacillati; Actinomycetota; Actinomycetes; Kitasatosporales; Streptomycetaceae.
CAUUCACGGAGAGUUUGAUCCUGGCUCAGGACGAACGCUGGCGGCGUGCUUAACACAUGCAAGUCGAACGAUGAACCACUUCGGUGGGGAUUAGUGGCGAACGGGUGAGUAACACGUGGGCAAUCUGCCCUGCACUCUGGGACAAGCCCUGGAAACGGGGUCUAAUACCGGAU